AAUCCAUAGGUUAAUGAGGCGAACCGGGGGAACUGAAACAUCUAAGUACCCCGAGGAAAAGAAAUCAACCGAGAUUCCCCCAGUAGCGGCGAGCGAACGGGGAGGAGCCCAGAGCCUGAAUCAGCAUGUGUGUUAGUGGAAGCGUCUGGAAAGGCGCGCGAUACAGGGUGACAGCCCCGUACACAAAAGCGCAUGUGCUGUGAGCUCGAUGAGUAGGGCGGGACACGUGGUAUCCUGUCUGAAUAUGGGGGGACCAUCCUCCAAGGCUAAAUACUCCUGACUGACCGAUAGUGAACCAGUACCGUGAGGGAAAGGCGAAAAGAACCCCGGCGAGGGGAGUGAAAAAGAACCUGAAACCGUGUACGUACAAGCAGUGGGAGCCCCACCACUAAGCCAGUGGUGAACUCCACAUACGCAUCCUUUGCUGAGGAUACGGUUAACGGAGCGAAAGCGACGUUCAACCGCAAAACAAGCAGAGGGGGCUUAGUGGUGGGGUGACUGCGUACCUUUUGUAUAAUGGGUCAGCGACUUAUAUUCUGUAGCAAGGUUAACCGAAUAGGGGAGCCGUAGGGAAACCGAGUCUUAAUUGGGCGUUAAGUUGCAGGGUAUAGACCCGAAACCCGGUGAUCUAGCCAUGGGCAGGUUGAAGGUUGGGUAACACUAACUGGAGGACCGAACCGACUAAUGUUGAAAAAUUAGCGGAUGACCUGUGGCUGGGGGUGAAAGGCCAAUCAAACCGGGAGAUAGCUGGUUCUCCCCGAAAGCUAUUUAGGUAGCGCCUCGUGAAUUCAUCUCCGGGGGUAGAGCACUGUUUCGGCUAGGGGGCCAUCCCGGCUUACCAACCCGAUGCAAACUGCGAAUACCGGAGAAUGUUAUCACGGGAGACACACGGCGGGUGCUAACGUCCGUCGUGAAGAGGGAAACAACCCAGACCGCCAGCUAAGGUCCCAAAGUCAUGGUUAAGUGGGAAACGAUGUGGGAAGGCCCAGACAGCCAGGAUGUUGGCUUAGAAGCAGCCAUCAUUUAAAGAAAGCGUAAUAGCUCACUGGUCGAGUCGGCCUGCGCGGAAGAUGUAACGGGGCUAAACCAUGCACCGAAGCUGCGGCAGCGAACGUAUCACUUAAAGCGAUUCAGCGGGUUACGAUUGACGGAGCGAAGCGACGUCAAAGCGUAUACAAAGUCGAGUCGGUUUAAGGAUACGUUCGUUGGGUAGGGGAGCGUUCUGUAAGCCUGUGAAGGUG
RNAcentral lists this ribosomal RNA (1241 nucleotides) under Salmonella enterica subsp. enterica serovar Singapore. RNAcentral's name for it is "partial 23S ribosomal RNA". It matches the Rfam family "Bacterial large subunit ribosomal RNA", at positions 161 to 1258 of the family's 2925-position model. The record is from RNAcentral. Lineage: Bacteria; Pseudomonadati; Pseudomonadota; Gammaproteobacteria; Enterobacterales; Enterobacteriaceae.